UACGUAGGGUGCAAGCGUUAAUCGGAAUUACUGGGCGUAAAGCGUGCGCAGGCGGUUUUGUAAGACAGGCGUGAAAUCCCCGGGCUUAACCUGGGAAUGGCGCUUGUGACUGCAGUGCUGGAGUGCGGCAGAGGGGGAUGGAAUUCCGCGUGUAGCAGUGAAAUGCGUAGAUAUGCGGAGGAACACCAAUGGCGAAGGCAAUCCCCUGGGCCUGUACUGACGCUCAUGCACGAAAGCGUGGGGAGCAAACAGG
RNAcentral lists this ribosomal RNA (253 nucleotides) under uncultured bacterium. RNAcentral describes it as "partial 16S ribosomal RNA". It matches the Rfam family "Bacterial small subunit ribosomal RNA", at positions 524 to 776 of the family's 1533-position model. The record is from RNAcentral.